Molecule: long non-coding RNA, 1277 nt
Filed under: Gallus gallus (chicken)
Lineage: Eukaryota; Metazoa; Chordata; Aves; Galliformes; Phasianidae
Description: lncRNA (ENSGALG00010021410.1)
Source: RNAcentral
CUCAAGCCGUAACAGAAAUUACAGCUCAGACUCCACAGAAGGCCACCUUCAAUGGGAUAUGUUUUCUGUUUUAAGUUGGCAGUAUAAAGUAAGAGGUCCUUUCUGCAGGCAAAUUCUAUGGGAAGGUGGCAUGGUUUGUCCAGCUGACAGCAGAAUGGCAGAUGGUGGGUGUGGGGAGGCUUGGGGUAGGAGGAUCUGUAGAUCCCAAGGGGCAGUUGAUAUUCUUCUAGCUUUAGAGAAAUCAGGAAGGGGACUGACAGCUCCUGUUUUAAUAAGGUGAUGCCCCUUGGAACGCUCUUGGCAGUUGGCUUCAUUUACAGUGACGUCUAGUCUUUUCAACAUGGUUUUCAUCUUUACUGCUCCGAGGAAAUUCUUAUUCAUCAAAGCCUAUUGUGAUGCUUAGGCAUGUCUUCCUUCUGUAAAGCCUUCCAUCUUUAAUCCACCAAAGUGGGGAAAACGUGAUGUUGAAAUACAGUUGAAGCAAAGCAGCAGCUGAACCUCUGCAUUUGUUCUGCACUGAUGGGUGAGGGGCUGCUCUGUGUAGUCAUUCAGCAUCAGGAAUUGCCAUUGUUCGCUUGCUUUCUGAGGAGAGAAUUACUUCUUCAAAGGGAUGCUCAGUGCCCAGAAGAGGAGGACAGUCUCUGGGAGAGACAUUUUACUGCUGCUGCAGUUCAAGAUGGAAUGGCAGCAAGCAGACUGCUUGCUGCAGUAGAAGUCCUGCAUAAACCUCUGAGGCAGCUCAGAACACCAUGUGCAAGAAUCCAGGUGCCCAUCUGUAACCCUCGACACCUACAUGUUUUAAAAGCAUGACUCAAGUGUCUUCUGGGAGGAGGAUUUAGGCCCUUGGUCACUGCUGUAUACCCUGAACUUUGCAGUGCUCUGGCUUGGUGCAGGGAUGAGCAAUCACAUGCGCUCUGUAAGGAACUGUUGCUCUUUGGUAAUAUUUCUUCAGGUUAAGCAUGACAAUCUCUCAUCAUUGGUGUAUAUGAUGUGAAGAGCCUCUUUCUCCAUCAUUUCAGAUUAUCUUGUUAGUGGGAUGUAUGUUACAUCAAUUUUGUGUGCCUAAUAAUUUCUACAUUGGAGAAGGUGACUGCUUACAGACAUUUGCUAUCCAAUUUAACUGCAUUCUUAUUUAACGUUGUUGAUGUCUCAGGUGACUGCUCCAUGGGAGCAUAGGAGAUGUUUCACCUCUUUGUCUAUGUGUGUUUACUGCUUGUACUGCUGAAAAUCCCAUUCAGACUGGUGAUUAAAGGAGUCCAACUAAAUGUCAUCUAAAG